UAUAUGAGGAUAUAUAUAGUUUGGCCUGCUCACUGAAUUAAUUAAAGAGCCGCAGUAUUCUGACUGUGCGAAGGUAGCAUAAUAGAUUGUCUUUUAAAUGGAGGCUUGAAUGAAUGGUUGGACAAAGUAUCAUCUGUUUCUUUAAUAAUAAUUGAAUUUUACUUUUAAGUGAAAAGGCUUAAAUAAUUUAAAAAGACGAUAAGACCCUAUAAAUUUUUAUAAAAAAUAUAUUUUUAGUUUAAGUUUAUAAGUUUAUAAGACAUAAAUUAUAGUUUUAUUGUGCUGGGGUGGCGUAGAUAUAUAAUAUAACUGUUUAUGAAUUAAAAUCAAUAAUAAUUGAUUAUUAUGAUUGAUCCUUUAAGAGAUUAAAAGAUUAAAAUACUUUAGGGAUAACAGCGUUAUUUUUUCUAAGAGUUCUUAUUGAAGAAAAAGUUUGCGACCUCGAUGUUGAAUUAAAGUUUCUUUGUGGUGUAGCAGCUAUAUAAGAGAGUCUGUUCGACUUUUAAUACUUUACGUGAUCUGA
This 523-nucleotide ribosomal RNA is filed under the name Pagurus cuanensis. Its description in RNAcentral is "partial 16S ribosomal RNA". It matches the Rfam family "Bacterial large subunit ribosomal RNA", at positions 1832 to 2608 of the family's 2925-position model. Lineage: Eukaryota; Metazoa; Arthropoda; Malacostraca; Decapoda; Paguridae. The record is from RNAcentral.